Sinocyclocheilus rhinocerous is the source of this 327-nucleotide long non-coding RNA. RefSeq lists it as uncharacterized. Lineage: Eukaryota; Metazoa; Chordata; Actinopteri; Cypriniformes; Cyprinidae. The transcript has 2 exons. The record is from RefSeq and is a predicted model, not a curated record.
UGUGUGUCAGGAUGCUGGAGUCUCUCUACAGGAGACUAUGAGAUACCUGGAGUCUCAGUGUCUUGAGGAGAUCGAGGCCAUGCUUAGGGGGGAGAUACAGGGCCAGGAGCUCGGGGAUCUGUUCUUCGACUGUGUGGACACCGAGAUCAAAUUCUACCAGUGAGACCGAGCAGUUGUCGUUGUGAAUGUCACUAGUGCUUGCUGAUCUGCCUGGAGAGAGAGAGACAGUCCAGAGCGCACAGGUUCCUGCCUGCUCAAAUCCUGCUCUCCUAGUUCCCCUGAUGCCAUGCCAAACUAAUUGUCAUGUCCAUGCCACACUAACUGUAA